RNAcentral lists this ribosomal RNA (1031 nucleotides) under Falsibacillus sp. RNAcentral's name for it is "partial 16S ribosomal RNA". It matches the Rfam family "Bacterial small subunit ribosomal RNA", at positions 36 to 1048 of the family's 1533-position model. Lineage: Bacteria; Bacillati; Bacillota; Bacilli; Caryophanales; Bacillaceae. The record is from RNAcentral.
GUGGAUGCGGGUGCUAUACUGCAGUCGAGCGGACCGACGGGAGCUUGCUCCCUUACGUCACGGCGGACGGGUGAGUAACACGUGGGUAACCUGCCUGUAAGACUGGGAUAACUCCGGGAAACCGGGGCUAAUACCGGAUGCUUGAUUGAACCGUAUGGUUCAAUUAUAAAAGGUGGCUUUUACCUCCCACUUUUAAAGGGAGCCCCGGCGCAUUAUUUAUUUGUGGAGGUAACGGCUCACACGGCGACAAUGCGUAGCCAACAUGAGAGGGGGAUCGGCCCCACUGGGACUGAGACACGGCCCCCACUCCUCCGGGGGGCGGCAGUAGGGAGUCUUCUCCAAUGGGGGAAAAUCUGAGGAAGAACCGCCCCGUGAGUGAUGAAGGUUUUCGGAUCUUAAAACUCUGUUGUUAGGGAAAAAAAAGUACCGUUCAAAUAGGGCGGUACCUUGACGGGACCUAGCCAAAAAACCCCGGGUAAAUACGUGCCCCCACCCCCGGGAAAACCUAGGGGGGAAGCGUUUUCCGGAAUUUUUGGGGGUAAAGCGCGCGCAGGGGGUUUCUUAAAUCUGAUGUGAUAGCCCCCGGCUCAACCGCGAAGGGUCAUUGGAAACUGGGGAACUUGAGUGCAGAAAAGGAGAGUGGAAUUCCACGUGUAGCGGUGAAAUGCGUAGAGAUGUGGAGGAACACCAGUGGCGAAGGCGACUCUCUGGUCUGUAACUGACGCUGAGGCGCGAAAGCGUGGGGAGCGAACAGGAUUAGAUACCCUGUAGUCCACGCCGUAAACGAUGAGUGCUAAGUGUUAGAGGGUUUCCAUCCCUUUAGUGCUGCAGCUAACGCAUUAAGCACUCCGCCUGGGGGAGUACGGUCGCAAGACUGAAACUCAAAGGAAUUGACGGGGGACCCGCACAAGCGGUGGAGUAUGUGUUUAUUCGAGCAACGCGAAGACUUACAGUCUUGACAUCCUCUUGAACAUCCCUCAAAGAGAUAGACGUUCGCUCUUCGGGAAAAAAGUAGAACAGGUGGUGCAUGU